CUUAAAAAUGUUUUUUGUAAGCUUGCCCAACUCGCUGACAGGAAAAAGGUGAAGAUAAUAAAACCAGAUGAUGAAUGAUCAAAGCCUGGGACUUGGAGGAAAAGGAAAACCCUCAGAGAAGUGUGAAACAAUGAUGGUAGCAGCUCAAGAUCAAAAUGCAUUGUCUCCAGAAUUUUAAAAAGGACAACCUAGAGACAUAUACCCAGACAAAGUAUUCAUGAGCUAAAUAACUAGCAUAGACAGACAG
RNAcentral lists this long non-coding RNA (247 nucleotides) under Phascolarctos cinereus (koala). Its description in RNAcentral is "lncRNA (ENSPCIG00000036367.1)". Lineage: Eukaryota; Metazoa; Chordata; Mammalia; Diprotodontia; Phascolarctidae. The record is from RNAcentral.